AUACGGAGGGUGCAAGCGUUAAUCGGAAUUACUGGGCGUAAAGCGCACGCAGGCGGUCAAUUAAGUCAGAUGUGAAAGCCCCGAGCUUAACUUGGGAAUUGCAUCUGAAACUGGUUGGCUAGAGUCUUGUAGAGGGGGGUAGAAUUCCAAGUGUAGCGGUGAAAUGCGUAGAGAUGUGGAGGAAUACCGGUGGCGAAGGCGGCCCCCUGGACAAAGACUGACGCUCAGGUGCGAAAGCGUGGGGAGCAAACAGGAUUAGAUACCCUGGUAGUCCACGCUGUAAACGAUGUCGAUUUAGAGGUUGUGGUCUUGAACCGUGGCUUCUGGAGCUAACGCGUUAAAUCGACCGCCUGGGGAGUACGGCCGCAAGGUUAAAACUCAAAGGAAUCGACGGGG
Molecule: ribosomal RNA, 396 nt
Filed under: uncultured bacterium
Lineage: Bacteria
Description: partial 16S ribosomal RNA
Rfam family: Bacterial small subunit ribosomal RNA
Source: RNAcentral